This 2923-nucleotide ribosomal RNA is filed under the name Klebsiella pneumoniae. Its description in RNAcentral is "23S ribosomal RNA". It matches the Rfam family "Bacterial large subunit ribosomal RNA". The record is from RNAcentral. Lineage: Bacteria; Pseudomonadati; Pseudomonadota; Gammaproteobacteria; Enterobacterales; Enterobacteriaceae.
GGGUUGUGAGGUUAAGCGACUAAGCGUACACGGUGGAUGCCCUGGCAGUCAGAGGCGAUGAAGGACGUGCUAAUCUGCGAAAAGCGUCGGUAAGGUGAUAUGAACCGUUAUAGCCGGCGAUGUCCGAAUGGGGAAACCCAGUGCAAUUCGUUGCACUAUCGUUAACUGAAUACAUAGGUUAACGAGGCGAACCGGGGGAACUGAAACAUCUAAGUACCCCGAGGAAAAGAAAUCAACCGAGAUUCCCCCAGUAGCGGCGAGCGAACGGGGAGCAGCCCAGAGUCUGAAUCAGCUUGUGUGUUAGUGGAACGGUCUGGAAAGUCCGACGGUACAGGGUGAUAGUCCCGUACACCAAAAUGCACAGGUUGUGAACUCGAAGAGUAGGGCGGGACACGUGGUAUCCUGUCUGAAUAUGGGGGGACCAUCCUCCAAGGCUAAAUACUCCUGACUGACCGAUAGUGAACCAGUACCGUGAGGGAAAGGCGAAAAGAACCCCGGCGAGGGGAGUGAAAAAGAACCUGAAACCGUGUACGUACAAGCAGUGGGAGCACCUUCGGGUGUGACUGCGUACCUUUUGUAUAAUGGGUCAGCGACUUAUAUUCUGUAGCAAGGUUAACCGUAUAGGGGAGCCGCAGGGAAACCGAGUCUUAACUGGGCGUUAAGUUGCAGGGUAUAGACCCGAAACCCGGUGAUCUAGCCAUGGGCAGGUUGAAGGUUGGGUAACACUAACUGGAGGACCGAACCGACUAAUGUUGAAAAAUUAGCGGAUGACUUGUGGCUGGGGGUGAAAGGCCAAUCAAACCGGGAGAUAGCUGGUUCUCCCCGAAAGCUAUUUAGGUAGCGCCUCGUGAACUCAUCUUCGGGGGUAGAGCACUGUUUCGGCUAGGGGGUCAUCCCGACUUACCAACCCGAUGCAAACUACGAAUACCGAAGAAUGUUAUCACGGGAGACACACGGCGGGUGCUAACGUCCGUCGUGAAGAGGGAAACAACCCAGACCGCCAGCUAAGGUCCCAAAGUCAUGGUUAAGUGGGAAACGAUGUGGGAAGGCACAGACAGCCAGGAUGUUGGCUUAGAAGCAGCCAUCAUUUAAAGAAAGCGUAAUAGCUCACUGGUCGAGUCGGCCUGCGCGGAAGAUGUAACGGGGCUAAACCAUGCACCGAAGCUGCGGCAGCGACACUAUGUGUUGUUGGGUAGGGGAGCGUUCUGUAAGCCUGCGAAGGUGACCUGUGAGGGUUGCUGGAGGUAUCAGAAGUGCGAAUGCUGACAUAAGUAACGAUAAAGCGGGUGAAAAGCCCGCUCGCCGGAAGACCAAGGGUUCCUGUCCAACGUUAAUCGGGGCAGGGUGAGUCGACCCCUAAGGCGAGGCCGAAAGGCGUAGUCGAUGGGAAACAGGUUAAUAUUCCUGUACUUGGUGUUACUGCGAAGGGGGGACGGAGAAGGCUAUGUUAGCCGGGCGACGGUUGUCCCGGUUUAAGCAUGUAGGCUGGUUGUCCAGGCAAAUCCGGAUAAUCAAGGCUGAGGUGUGAUGACGAGGCACUACGGUGCUGAAGUAACAAAUGCCCUGCUUCCAGGAAAAGCCUCUAAGCAUCAGGUAACAUUAAAUCGUACCCCAAACCGACACAGGUGGUCAGGUAGAGAAUACCAAGGCGCUUGAGAGAACUCGGGUGAAGGAACUAGGCAAAAUGGUGCCGUAACUUCGGGAGAAGGCACGCUGGUGUGUAGGUGAAGUCCCUGCGGAUGGAGCUGAGACCAGUCGAAGAUACCAGCUGGCUGCAACUGUUUAUUAAAAACACAGCACUGUGCAAACACGAAAGUGGACGUAUACGGUGUGACGCCUGCCCGGUGCCGGAAGGUUAAUUGAUGGGGUUAUCCGUAAGGAGAAGCUCUUGAUCGAAGCCCCGGUAAACGGCGGCCGUAACUAUAACGGUCCUAAGGUAGCGAAAUUCCUUGUCGGGUAAGUUCCGACCUGCACGAAUGGCGUAAUGAUGGCCAGGCUGUCUCCACCCGAGACUCAGUGAAAUUGAACUCGCUGUGAAGAUGCAGUGUACCCGCGGCAAGACGGAAAGACCCCGUGAACCUUUACUAUAGCUUGACACUGAACAUUGAGCCUUGAUGUGUAGGAUAGGUGGGAGGCUUUGAAGCGUGGACGCCAGUCUGCGUGGAGCCAACCUUGAAAUACCACCCUUUAAUGUUUGAUGUUCUAACGUUGGCCCCUGACCGGGGUUGCGGACAGUGUCUGGUGGGUAGUUUGACUGGGGCGGUCUCCUCCCAAAGCGUAACGGAGGAGCACGAAGGUUAGCUAAUCCUGGUCGGACAUCAGGAGGUUAGUGCAAUGGCAUAAGCUAGCUUGACUGCGAGCGUGACGGCGCGAGCAGGUGCGAAAGCAGGUCAUAGUGAUCCGGUGGUUCUGAAUGGAAGGGCCAUCGCUCAACGGAUAAAAGGUACUCCGGGGAUAACAGGCUGAUACCGCCCAAGAGUUCAUAUCGACGGCGGUGUUUGGCACCUCGAUGUCGGCUCAUCACAUCCUGGGGCUGAAGUAGGUCCCAAGGGUAUGGCUGUUCGCCAUUUAAAGUGGUACGCGAGCUGGGUUUAGAACGUCGUGAGACAGUUCGGUCCCUAUCUGCCGUGGGCGCUGGAGAAUUGAGGGGGGCUGCUCCUAGUACGAGAGGACCGGAGUGGACGCAUCACUGGUGUUCGGGUUGUCAUGCCAAUGGCACUGCCCGGUAGCUAAAUGCGGAAGAGAUAAGUGCUGAAAGCAUCUAAGCACGAAACUUGCCCCGAGAUGAGUUCUCCCUGAGACUUUAAGUCUCCUGAAGGAACGUUGAAGACGACGACGUUGAUAGGCCGGGUGUGUAAGCGCAGCGAUGCGUUGAGCUAACCGGUACUAAUGAACCGUGAGGCUUAACCUUACAACGCCGAAG